RNAcentral lists this long non-coding RNA (1766 nucleotides) under Homo sapiens (human). RNAcentral's name for it is "non-protein coding lnc-PRKN-9:4". The record is from RNAcentral. Lineage: Eukaryota; Metazoa; Chordata; Mammalia; Primates; Hominidae.
UUAAUAUACUUAGAAUAAAAAUAGAAAAGACAAGAGCAAUGCUUAGCAUGAAAUCUCACAGAUUAUUUCACAGAAACACAGGUAUUACACUGAAGAAUACAGAAUCACAGGCAUGUUCUAUAACAAUGACACAUUAAGAAAACCAUCAGCUCUCUAACACUGACCACAAGUGGGUUUCAAAGGGAGGGGGCUAAAAGCAAAAUUUGACACAUGUGGAUUUGAAGACAUGUGAGUGUUUCUCCUUCCUACUUGCUAGAUGAAGAAACACACAGACGGACUGAAUGACUGGCCUGUGGUCAUGCAAGCUAUGAAGACAGCAGUAACUGAUCCUGGGUCUCCUCAUCAGCCAUACCAUGGCCCUUUCAAGAGGCGGUGUUUGCUUCAUUUACUCUGCUUCAGUUAGCUGGUUUCCUGCCAACACAACAGGUCUGAGGGGCUGAGCAUCAAAGUGCUGCCACGGUGACAGCCCAGGGGCUGCUAGAGGAAGGUGAAGGUGUGCAAUGUGAAUGUUUUGUAUCCACCCUCCCUCACCAUGGUAUUUUGGCUCUACAAGGGGCUCUGUGGUGAAGACAGCAAUGUGACCACUGGGAGUCUCAGACAAGAACGAAGCAAAUUGAGCUGUGCUCUCCUGCCUGGCCUGAAGUUUGUUCAGAUACUGCAGAUAAAGGCACUUAGCACAGUGUCUCAUGUGGAGGGGAUGCAGAGUGACUGUUGGCUGCUAUCACCAUCAUUAUUGUCACUGGCACUUUGAACUCCAGUGAGUGUAAUUAUAUAUAUUUGUGCUUUUAUUAAUUUACAUGCACUAUUCUAUAUUUGCUGCUUAGCACAGUGGUUGGCACAUAUAAAAUAUUCAGUAAAAAUAAUGAAAUAGAUGAAUGAAUGGUUUUUUCUAUGGCAUGUGUGUCAGAAGAGGUGGGAUAACCCCAUCUGUACCAGGUACCAGGAAGCGAACUCUUCCCAGACUGGCGUCAUGAAUCUGCACAAAGUGAAACAGUGGCCUAGCAGCCUUCAGGAGACAUUGCCAUGUUUUCCUCUGCCCUUUCUCAGUUGGAAUCUGUGAAGAUGAACUACCUCUUCUUUCCCCUGGAUUUCUAUCCAUAAAUGUAUCUUUGUACAAUUGCUACCAGCAUAUAGUAUCUCCACACUAGAAAUCUCAGUGGCCAAGCUCUAGAAAUCUCAGUGGUCAAGCUCUAGAAAUCUCAGUGGUCAAGCUCUAUCUUGUGAUUUUCCUGCCAUCUCCAUGAAACUGAUAUUUAUCAUUCAUUUCUCUCUAAUGAACCAGUUAUAUACUUGAGUUUGCAUAUCAAGUCCCAAUCUCCUUCUCAAUUUCACUGUGGAGGAGGCUCUAUAGUACCACAGAAAGAGUCAUCAUGUAAAUUCUUAACAAAGUGAAGAAUUCUUUAAAAAGUGGAAAUCCCUGCUUGUUUAUUCCCAAUAUUCAGUCAAUUGGCAGGUUUUCUGUUUCUUCUUUUACAAAAGUGUCAUUUGUCCCAUGAGCAUAUGUGCUGAGACUUCAAAGCAUUGAGGGGAGGAGGUGCUUAGGAAGUUGAUUUUUCUCUUUCCUACUAAAAUGCUCUACUUACUAAAAUGCCUUAGAUAGGACUCAGAUAAUGUUAAGAGAUUAUAAAGAUAGAAAUAUUUCAAAAGGAAGAAAGGAAAACCACAAACUACUACUACAAUUUUGUCCAGCAUUCUUUUGGACUGGUGGCUACCUGUUCCUAGAAUUGCUGAGAGGUUUUUCAAAUCGAGAUGAGACAACAGAUGUA